This 468-nucleotide ribosomal RNA is filed under the name uncultured bacterium. RNAcentral's name for it is "partial 16S ribosomal RNA". It matches the Rfam family "Bacterial small subunit ribosomal RNA", at positions 28 to 507 of the family's 1533-position model. The record is from RNAcentral.
GACGAACGCUGGCGGCGUGCUUAACACAUGCAAGUCGAACGGAAAGGCCCUGCUUUUGUGGGGUGCUCGAGUGGCGAACGGGUGAGUAACACGUGAGUAACCUGCCCUUGACUUUGGGAUAACUUCAGGAAACUGGGGCUAAUACCGGAUAGGAGCUCCUGCUGCAUGGUGGGGGUUGGAAAGUUUCGGCGGUUGGGGAUGGACUCGCGGCUUAUCAGCUUGUUGGUGGGGUAGUGGCUUACCAAGGCUUUGACGGGUAGCCGGCCUGGGAGGGUGACCGGCCACAUUGGGACUGGGAUACGGCCCAGACUCCUACGGGAGGCAGCAGUGGGGAAUAUUGCACAAUGGGCGGAAGCCUGAUGCAGCAACGCCGCGUGCGGGAUGACGGCCUUCGGGUUGUAAACCGAUUUCGCCUGUGACGAAGCGUGAGUGACGGUAAUGGGUAAAGAAGCACCGGCUAACUACGUG